RNAcentral lists this ribosomal RNA (460 nucleotides) under uncultured bacterium. RNAcentral describes it as "partial 16S ribosomal RNA". It matches the Rfam family "Bacterial small subunit ribosomal RNA", at positions 28 to 523 of the family's 1533-position model. The record is from RNAcentral.
GAUGAACGCUGGCGGCGUGCUUAAUACAUGCAAGUCGAGCGGAAAGGUCUCUUCGGAGAUACUCGAGCGGCGGACGGGUGAGUAACGCGUAAGAAUGUACCCCAAAGUGAGGAAUAAGCACCAGAAAUGGUGUCUAAUGCCGCAUGUGCUCUUCGGAAUAAAGCUUAAUGCGCUUUGGGAACAGCUUGCGUCUGAUUAGCUAGUUGGUAAGGUAACGGCUUACCAAGGCGACGAUCAGUAGCUGGUCUGAGAGGAUGACCAGCCACACUGGGACUGAGACACGGCCCAGACUCCUACGGGAGGCAGCAGUAGGGAAUUUUCCACAAUGGGCGAGAGCCUGAUGGAGCAACGCCGCGUGAUGGAUGAAGGCCUUCGGGUUGUAAACAUCUUUUGUCUGUGACGAAUAUGACGGUAGCAGACGAAUAAGGAUCGGCUAACUACGUGCCAGCCGCCGCCGUAA